ACUCUCAUUACUCCCUUCUUCUUCUCUCGGCUUACCCUGCGUCUCGCCGGUGGUUCUCACCAGUGGUCGUCGCCGCGUGGUCUCGCCCGUCGCCGGUGGUACUCUAGCAAGAGUCUAUUUAAUUUCCUCACCUCUCACCGGUGGUUCCCUGCUCGAAAAACCCCCGCAAAAGGUAUUCCCUGCUCGAAAAAACAACCGGCGAAGUGAUUCCCUGCUCGGAAAACUAAGCUUCUUUGCUCGGCCGGUUCGCGAACCCUGUUCUCCGUCAAUCCUCGCUGCGGCAAGUAACUUUCUCCCCUGUCCCUUUUUAUUUUCGUUUUCAAAAUUAGGGUUUGUUCAUUUUUCAUUUUUGCAGAGAAAGCCAAAGAAAUUGUUGGCUGACAAGAUUAGGAGAAAAUACAUACGUUUAUCUCGGGUGGGUUAUGAUUUCUUUUGUUUUAAAUGAUGAAAUUUUGCAAAUUCUUGAAUCUUGAUCUUCGUAUGUAAUUUAAACAGAGAUAUAUCAAUUAAUUUGAUUUUCUUGAUGAGAAAAAUAUUGUAAUAAUCCCUGAUUAAGGAAAUAUAAUUCUGUUCAUGCUAGAAAAAUUCACUCAAAGAUAAAUGUUGAACAUCCGACUACCGUAAAAGUGAUGUAAAAUCGAAUGUUUCUGGUGGUUUCAUCUUGGUUAGUACCUCAAAUCAUGUUUUAGGCUCUUUCAUUAGGCAAAUGUGAAAAACUACUCCCUCCAUUCUUGAAUGUCAGUCCUUUUUUGAAUCUAAAGCAAUCCAAUUUAAGUAAUUUCAUGUUUCAUGUUUUAGGCCUUUUCAUUAGCCAAAUGUGACAAACUAUAUAUUAUUCUGAUGAAAUUAAUAUGCUUAUUUUGAGGUGUUUUCUUACUUGGUUCAUUUGGUGGAGUCACAGAGACUUCCUCCACCCUUUUGAAGGGCGCAUAUACCAGUAAAAAACCGUACUGUUAUAAUACUCGAGACAGAUACUGGAGAACAAUACGAAGCCAAUUAUCUGCCUCAAUAUCGUGGACUCAGUGGUGGGUGGAAAAGGUUUGCCAUAGUUCUGAAAUUGGAAGGAGAUACUGUUGUUUUUCAACUAGUUGAACCUGCCAAAUUUAAGUCUACCUCUUCUAGAAUCAAAUCACUAAACUAGUUGAAGCUGAGGAUAAAAGCUGCUAAUGAAGCUGAGGCGGCUUGCCAACGGCGUCUCUCUGUUGCUGAGGCUGAAAUAGCUGAUUUAAGAUCCAAAUUGGAUACUACUGAAAGCAUGGAAGGCAAGCAUUCGUUUCUGUGCCUAGCACUUUUCCUGUGCCUGGAGAAGAA
Molecule: long non-coding RNA, 1311 nt
Organism: Spinacia oleracea (spinach)
Lineage: Eukaryota; Viridiplantae; Streptophyta; Magnoliopsida; Caryophyllales; Amaranthaceae
Exons: 3
Source: RefSeq, a predicted model, not a curated record